Molecule: long non-coding RNA, 594 nt
Filed under: Mus caroli (Ryukyu mouse)
Lineage: Eukaryota; Metazoa; Chordata; Mammalia; Rodentia; Muridae
Description: lncRNA (MGP_CAROLIEiJ_G0006233.1)
Source: RNAcentral
AGCAACCAAGUGAAGAAAGGGGUUUACUUCAGCUGCUAAAUCCAGGUUACUGCCCAUCAUUGUGAAGUCAAGGCAGUGUCAAAUGGCAAGGCACAUCACGUCUGCAGAGAGACACAAAGUGGCUUACAAGCAUCCAUCCUCUGCCUGCUGUGGUAACAUGCAAGGAUACAUGUCUGUUGACAUUUGGAGGCGUGGUCACAGUCAUGACAUUCCUGCUUCUGCUGCAUGCUGAGAACUUAAGAACAGGACACGCUGAGCGGUGGCAGGAAAGCAACUCAAGGGAGAAAGGAUGAUUCUGACUUGGCUCAGGGUAUGGUCUAUCAUGGCAGCCGAUUCCAGCUGCAACAGCUUGAACUUUUGUUGUGUCUCCAUCAACUUUGGAAGCAGAUAGGACAAGAGCACUUUUGCAUUAUUCAGGAGGGCAGGUGAAAUCUGAGAGGAAUUGACUAACCAUAGGGUUCCACGUUUGAGCAUUGUCGCCCGACUGCAAACAUCGAGUUGGAGAAGUCGUUUGACAAACACGUUUUUUCUCCCUUUCUAAUGUGUACCUUCUGGUGCUUUUAGUACUUUUAUGCAUUUGUUGUAUGAUCCGGC